RNAcentral lists this unclassified non-coding RNA (329 nucleotides) under soil metagenome. RNAcentral describes it as "partial contains 5.8S ribosomal RNA, internal transcribed spacer 2, and large subunit ribosomal RNA". The stretch from base 1 to 120 matches the Rfam family "5.8S ribosomal RNA", at positions 35 to 154 of the family's 154-position model. The record is from RNAcentral.
GAUGAAGAACGCAGCGAAAUGCGAUAAGUAAUGUGAAUUGCAGAAUUCAGUGAAUCAUCGAAUCUUUGAACGCACAUUGCGCCCCCUGGUAUUCCGGGGGGCAUGCCUGUCCGAGCGUCAUUACAACCCUCAAGCUCAGCUUGGUGUUGGGCCCCGCCGCCCCGGCGGGCCCUAAAGUCAGUGGCGGUGCCGUCCGGCUCCGAGCGUAGUAAUUCUUCUCGCUCUGGAGGUCCGGUCGUGUGCUCGCCAGCAACCCCCAAUUUUUUUCAGGUUGACCUCGGAUCUGGUAGGGAUACCCGCUGAACUUAAGCAUAUCAAUAAGCGGAGGA